GUGAGGAAUAUUGGUCAAUGGGCGGGAGCCUGAACCAGCCAAGUCGCGUGAAGGAAGAAGGAUCUAUGGUUCGUAAACUUCUUUUGCAGGGGAAUAAAGUGCAGGACGUGUCCUGUUUUGUAUGUACCCUGAGAAUAAGGAUCGGCUAACUCCGUGCCAGCAGCCGCGGUAAUACGGAGGAUCCGAGCGUUAUCCGGAUGUAUUGGGUUUAAAGGGUGCGGAGGUGGUUUGAUAAGUCAGCGGUGAAAGUUUGCAGCUUAACUGUAAAAAUGCCGUUGAAACUGUCGGACUUGAGUGUAAAUGAGGUAGGCGGAAUGCGUGGUGUAGCGGUGAAAUGCAUAGAUAUCACGCAGAACUCCGAUUGCGAAGGCAGCUUACUAAGCUACAACUGACACUGAAGCACGAAAGCGUGGGGAUCAAACAGGAUUAGAAACCCCAGUAGUCC
RNAcentral lists this ribosomal RNA (445 nucleotides) under uncultured bacterium. RNAcentral's name for it is "partial 16S ribosomal RNA". It matches the Rfam family "Bacterial small subunit ribosomal RNA", at positions 354 to 796 of the family's 1533-position model. The record is from RNAcentral.